RNAcentral lists this microRNA (23 nucleotides) under Oryza sativa (Asian cultivated rice). RNAcentral describes it as "osa-miR1863b.2". Lineage: Eukaryota; Viridiplantae; Streptophyta; Magnoliopsida; Poales; Poaceae. The record is from miRBase by way of RNAcentral. RNAcentral also lists the same sequence under 1 other name.
AGAGACUUGGCUGAUGCAUUACU